This is a non-coding RNA of Cinara cedri, 273 nucleotides long. The record is from the annotation of a GenBank genome assembly. NCBI's taxonomy places the organism in Eukaryota, Metazoa, Arthropoda, Insecta, Hemiptera, Aphididae.
GCCGCCGCCGAUUUCGCCAGUCGCCCGUCGCCGCCGCGGUCGCGUUCGUCGGUCCGUUUAACGCCGGCAAUUGUUGAUAACCGUUGUUACUUUAUUACCGAUAGUAAUUACAAACGCGCGCGCACUCACAACUUGUACUUCACGCGUAUCGCUUUAUCGCUGUAUCCGCACGUACGAAAUUAUACGCGGCCGUCACCGGCGGUCCGGCACACGCGGAAACGUAUUUUGAAAUACCUACACGAGCACGGGGUGAUUGAACGUUUCGUCUAUUUU